GACGAACGCUGGCGGCGUGCCUAAUACAUGCAAGUUGAGCGAUGAAGAUUGGUGCUUGCACCAAUUUGAAGAGCAGCGAACGGGUGAGUAACGCGUGGGGAAUCUGCCUUUGAGCGGGGGACAACAUUUGGAAACGAAUGCUAAUACCGCAUAAUAACUUUAAACAUAAGUUUUAAGUUUGAAAGAUGCAAUUGCAUCACUCAAAGAUGAUCCCGCGUUGUAUUAGCUAGUUGGUGAGGUAAAGGCUCACCAAGGCGAUGAUACAUAGCCGACCUGAGAGGGUGAUCGGCCACAUUGGGACUGAGACACGGCCCAAACUCCUACGGGAGGCAGCAGUAGGGAAUCUUCGGCAAUGGACGAAAGUCUGACCGAGCAACGCCGCGUGAGUGAAGGAGGUUUUCGGAUCGUAAAACUCUGUUGGUAGAGAAGAACGUUGGUGAGAGUGGAAAGCUCAUCAAGUGACGGUAACUACCCAGAAAGGGACGGCUAACUACGUG
Molecule: ribosomal RNA, 497 nt
Filed under: uncultured bacterium
Lineage: Bacteria
Description: partial 16S ribosomal RNA
Rfam family: Bacterial small subunit ribosomal RNA
Source: RNAcentral